RNAcentral lists this ribosomal RNA (435 nucleotides) under uncultured bacterium. Its description in RNAcentral is "partial 16S ribosomal RNA". It matches the Rfam family "Bacterial small subunit ribosomal RNA", at positions 29 to 507 of the family's 1533-position model. The record is from RNAcentral.
AGCGAACGCUGGCGGCAGGCUUAACACAUGCAAGUCGAACGGGCAUAGCAAUAUGUCAGUGGCAGACGGGUGCGUAACGCGUGGGAACGUACCUUUUGGUUCGGAACAACACAGGGAAACUUGUGCUAAUACCGGAUAAGCCCUUACGGGGAAAGAUUUAUCGCCGAAAGAUCGGCCCGCGUCUGAUUAGCUAGUUGGUAGGGUAAUGGCCUACCAAGGCGACGAUCAGUAGCUGGUCUGAGAGGAUGAUCAGCCACAUUGGGACUGAGACACGGCCCAAACUCCUACGGGAGGCGGCAGUGGGGAAUAUUGGACAAUGGGCGAAAGCCUGAUCCAGCCAUGCCGCGUGAGUGAUGAAGGCCCUAGGGUUGUAAAGCUCUUUUGUGCGGGAAGAUAAUGACGGUACCGCAAGAAUAAGCCCCGGCUAACUUCGUG